UUAUGGCCAUAUCAUAUUGAAACAUUGGUUCCCAUACCAUCACCGGAGUUAAGCAAUGUUGAACCUACUCAGUACCUAGAUGAGUGAUUGCUUAGGAAGGCAGGUGCUGUAAG
Acanthosepion pharaonis is the source of this 113-nucleotide non-coding RNA. NCBI's taxonomy places the organism in Eukaryota, Metazoa, Mollusca, Cephalopoda, Sepiida, Sepiidae. The record is from the annotation of a GenBank genome assembly.